This 497-nucleotide ribosomal RNA is filed under the name uncultured bacterium. Its description in RNAcentral is "partial 16S ribosomal RNA". It matches the Rfam family "Bacterial small subunit ribosomal RNA", at positions 28 to 507 of the family's 1533-position model. The record is from RNAcentral.
GACGAACGCUGGCGGCGUGCCUAAUACAUGCAAGUUGAGCGCUGAAGGUUGGUACUUGUACCAACUGGAUGAGCAGCGAACGGGUGAGUAACGCGUGGGGAAUCUGCCUUUGAGCGGGGGACAACAUUUGGAAACGAAUGCUAAUACCGCAUAAAAACUUUAAACACAAGUUUUAAGUUUGAAAGAUGCAAUUGCAUCACUCAAAGAUGAUCCCGCGUUGUAUUAGCUAGUUGGUUAGGUAAAGGCUCACCAAGGCGAUGAUACAUAGCCGACCUGAGAGGGUGAUCGGCCACAUUGGGACUGAGACACGGCCCAAACUCCUACGGGAGGCAGCAGUAGGGAAUCUUCGGCAAUGGACGAAAGUCUGACCGAGCAACGCCGCGUGAGUGAAGAAGGUUUUCGGAUCGUAAAACUCUGUUGGUAGAGAAGAACGUUGGUGAGAGUGGAAAGCUCAUCAAGUGACGGUAACUACCCAGAAAGGGACGGCUAACUACGUG